This 492-nucleotide ribosomal RNA is filed under the name Diaporthe sp. Fsn012. RNAcentral's name for it is "eukaryotic LSU rRNA". The stretch from base 178 to 331 matches the Rfam family "5.8S ribosomal RNA". Lineage: Eukaryota; Fungi; Ascomycota; Sordariomycetes; Diaporthales; Diaporthaceae. The record is from RNAcentral.
CUGGAACGCGCCCCAGGCGCACCCAGAAACCCUUUGUGAACUUAUACCUUACUGUUGCCUCGGCGCUAGCUGGUCCUUCGGGGCCCCUCACCCCCGGGUGUUGAGACGGCCCGCCGGCGGCCAACCUAACUCUUGUUUUUACACUGAAACUCUGAGAAUAAAACAUAAAUGAAUCAAAACUUUCAACAACGGAUCUCUUGGUUCUGGCAUCGAUGAAGAACGCAGCGAAAUGCGAUAAGUAAUGUGAAUUGCAGAAUUCAGUGAAUCAUCGAAUCUUUGAACGCACAUUGCGCCCUCUGGUAUUCCGGAGGGCAUGCCUGUUCGAGCGUCAUUUCAACCCUCAAGCCUGGCUUGGUGAUGGGGCACUGCCUGUAAAAGGGCAGGCCCUGAAAUUCAGUGGCGAGCUCGCCAGGACCCCGAGCGCAGUAGUUAAACCCUCGCUCUGGAAGGCCCUGGCGGUGCCCUGCCGUUAAACCCCCAACUUCUGAAAAU